GCUUGCAUGGGAGGAAGCUCCAGGGUCCGGCCGGCUGACUAGAGCGCUGAGUCCAACUCACUCAGAAUUGCAGCUGUAGUGCAAGACAGUGGAGGCCACGUGGCGGACGGUGUCCGGGAGCAGCAGGUGUUCCAGGCUAAAAUCCAGCGUGUGAAAAUGAAGUCGCAGGCCACCAUGAUUUGCUGUUAUGUAUUUUUUCUAGCCACAGAAUGUUCCCACUAUAGACCCA
This 229-nucleotide long non-coding RNA is filed under the name Fukomys damarensis (Damara mole-rat). RNAcentral's name for it is "lncRNA (ENSFDAG00000030007.1)". The record is from RNAcentral. Lineage: Eukaryota; Metazoa; Chordata; Mammalia; Rodentia; Bathyergidae.